UGGGGAAUUUUGCACAAUGGGGGAAACCCUGAUGCAGCGACGCCGCGUGAUUUAGAAGGCCUUCGGGUUGUAAAAAUCUUUUCUAUGGGAAGAAAAUGACAGUACCAUAGGAAUAAGGACCGGCUAAUUACGUGCCAGCAGCCGCGGUAAUACGUAAUGUCCGAGCGUUGUCCGGAAUCAUUGGGCGUAAAGGGUACGUAGGCGGGUAAGCAAGUUAGAAGUGAAAUCCUGUAGCUCAACUACAGUAAGCUUUUAAAACUGCUCAUCUUGAGAUAUGGAAGGGAAAGUGGAAUUCCUAGUGUAGCGGUGAAAUGCGCAGAUAUUAGGAGGAAUACCGGUGGCGAAGGCGACUUUCUGGCCAUAAUCUGACGCUGAGGUACGAAAGCGUGGGUAGCAAACAGG
RNAcentral lists this ribosomal RNA (402 nucleotides) under Bacteroidota bacterium. RNAcentral describes it as "Bacteroidetes bacterium partial 16S ribosomal RNA". It matches the Rfam family "Bacterial small subunit ribosomal RNA", at positions 355 to 776 of the family's 1533-position model. The record is from RNAcentral. Lineage: Bacteria; Pseudomonadati; Bacteroidota.